Long non-coding RNA from Bos taurus (domestic cattle), 710 nucleotides. Lineage: Eukaryota; Metazoa; Chordata; Mammalia; Artiodactyla; Bovidae. The record is from Ensembl.
AGAUGGAAAUAAAGGAAAGAAGAAAAACAUCUAGCUACUUUCAGGCUCGUCCACCUGCAUCAGGUUUUUCCUGCCUCGUGCUUAGUCGUGCUCUUUGUGACCCCAUGGACUGUAGCCCACCAGGCUCCUCUGUCCAUGGAAUUCCCCAGGUGGAUUCUUUAUCACUGUGCCACCUGGGAAGCUUAUAGAGUGGGUUGCCAUUUCCUUCUCCAGGGGAUCUUCUGGAUCCAGAGAUCAAACCUGAAUCUCCUGCAUUGUCAGGGACUGAACACAGCUGCUGGCACCCUCAUGCUUUCCUGGAUGUUGCCGAUAUAUCUGUUUACUAAGUCAACGUCUAAACCCAGGUGGACACAGAUGAAGGCAGGGCCCCUUAGUCCAAAGCCCUCAGCUCACUCACCAUGGAGAACUGAAAAUUCAUCCUGCAGCACUUCCUACCCCAGGGAGAGCUCUCGUUCCUUUGAUCCUCAUGAUUCAUUUGAUCCAAUCAAACACUAGUUCAUUCUCACGUCCCCCAUGUUCAGUGAACACAAAGUGAACAUUAAUUUGUCUUCUCUCUGGAGUUCUUUUUAUAUCAUUGGGAUCAAUGAUGAGAUUCCCCCUGCCACCCCCACACCGCUGUGUUUACAAAGCACCCAGUCGUGUCCAGAACAAAAGGUAAAGGAUUUUGGUGCUUGGGCCUGGACCUGGCGUGUGUGGUGGAUGUACACGGG